Molecule: ribosomal RNA, 581 nt
Filed under: Tor khudree (Deccan mahseer)
Lineage: Eukaryota; Metazoa; Chordata; Actinopteri; Cypriniformes; Cyprinidae
Description: partial 16S ribosomal RNA
Rfam family: Bacterial large subunit ribosomal RNA
Source: RNAcentral
UCAGUAUAGGAGGUCAGCCUGCCCAGUGACCACAAGUUCAACGGCCGCGGUAUUUUGACCGUGCAAAGGUAGCGCAAUCACUUGUCUUUUAAAUAGAGACCUGUAUGAAUGGCUAAACGAGGGCUUAACUGUCUCCCUUUUCAGGUCAGUGAAAUUGAUCUACCCGUGCAGAAGCGGGUAUAGAAAUACAAGACGAGAAGACCCUUUGGAGCUUAAGGUACAAAACUCAAUCACGUCAAACAACUUAAUAAAAAGUAAAAACCUUGUGAAACAUGAGAUUUUACCUUCGGUUGGGGCGACCACGGAGGAAAAAUAAGCCUCCAAGUGGACCGGGACAAACUCCUAAAACCAAGAGAAACAUCUCUAAGCCACAGAACAUCUGACCAAACAUGAUCCGGCCACCAAGACCGAUCAACGAACCAAGUUACCCUAGGGAUAACAGCGCAAUCCCCUCCCAGAGUCCAUAUCGACGAGGGGGUUUACGACCUCGAUGUUGGAUCAGGACAUCCUAAUGGUGCAGCCGCUAUUAAGGGUUCGUUUGUUCAACGAUUAAAGUCCUACGUGAUCUGAGUUCAGACCGG